GAAGUCAACAAAUGAGAACACCUGGGGAAUAGGAGUGAUGCUGGGGGCUGCAGGACCUGGGUUAACCUCUACAUCACCAGAGGAACAUAGGAGGAGUAGGAUAAAGAGAACCUGAGCCUUAGGACCAUGCCUCAGGACUACCUGACCUGAUGACUCCUGGCUGUGUCCGUCCCCAGUUCACCUGGUCGUGCUGCUGAUCCAGUUUCUGCUGUUUUGCAUGUGGCUAUUUAAUCCUGAGGUGCUGACCUGUUGCACCCUCUACAACCACUGUGAUUAUUAUUUGACCCUGCUGGUCAUCUAUGAACGUUUGAACAUCUUGAAGUAAGAUUUGGCCUUAAUGGCCAUGUACGCUUAUAAUCUCCACCCAGCACAGCCAGAAGAGGAAUGGCCACCCCUCAGGGUCUGGUUCCUCUCUAGGUUUCUUCCUAGGUUCCUGCCUUUCUAGGGAGUUUUUCCUAGCCACCAUGCUUCUAGAUCUGCAUUGCUUGCUGUUUGGGGUUUCAGGCUGGGUUUCUGUAUAAGCACUUUGUGACAUCUGCUGUUGUAAAAAAAAAAGAAGCUUCAUAAAUACAUUUGAUUUGAUUGAAUAUAAAGUGUUAUGUUUGGUGCAAAUCCAACACAACACACUCUUCAUAUUUUCAAGCAUGGUGGUGGCUGCAUCAUGUUAUGGGUAUACUUGUCAUUGGCAAGGACUAGGGAGUUUUUUUAGGAUAAAAAUAAACAGAAUAGAGCUAAGCAGAGGCAAAAUCUUAAAGGAAAACCUGGUUCAGUCUUUUUUCUACAGACACUGGGAGAUAAAUUCACCUUUCAGCAGGACAAUAACCUAAAACACAAGGCCAACUAUACUGCUGCUUACCAAGAGGACAUUGAAGGUUCCUGAGUGGCCUAGUUACAGUUUUGAAUCAAAUCUGCUUGAAAAUCUAUGGCAAGACUUGAAAAUGGCUGUCUAGCAAUGAUCAACAACCAAUUUGACAGAGCUUGAACAUUUUUUUAAAUGAUAAUGUGAAAAUAUUGUACAAUUCAUGUGUGCAAAGCUCUUAGUGAUGUACCCAGAAACAUUCACAGCUGUAAUCGCUGUCAAAGGUGAUUCUAACAUGUAUUCUAUCUCAAGGCCAUCAGACUGUUAAACAGCCACCACUAACAUUGAGUGGCUGCUGCCAACACACUGUCAAUGACACUGACUCAACUCCAGCCACUUUAAUAAUGGGAAUUGAUGGGAAAUGAUGUAAAUAUAUCACUAGCCACUUUAAACAAUGCUACCUUAUAUAAUGUUACUUACCCUACAUUAUUCAUCUCAUAUGCAUACGUAUAUACUGUACUCUAUAUCAUCGACUGCAUCCUUAUGUAAUACAUGUAUCACUAGCCACUUUAUGCCACUUGGUUUACAUACUCAUCUCAUAUGUAUGUACUGUACUCGAUAUCAUCUACUGUAUCUUGCCUAUGCUGCUCUGUACCAUCACUCAUUCAUAUAUCCUUAUGUACAUAUUCUUUAUCCCCUUACACUGUGUAUAAGACAGUAGUUUUUUGGAAUUGUUAGUUAGAUUACUUGUUCGUUAUUACUGCAUUGUCGGAACCAGAAGCACUAGCAUUUCGCUACACUCGCAUUAACAUCUGCUAACCAUGUGUAUGUGACAAAUAAAAAAUUUGAUUUGAUUUAUUGACUCAGGGGUGUGAAAACUUAUGUAAAUGAGAUAUUUCUGUAUUUAAUUUUCAAUAAAUGUGUUAAAAGUUCUAAAA
Oncorhynchus tshawytscha (Chinook salmon) is the source of this 1737-nucleotide long non-coding RNA. Lineage: Eukaryota; Metazoa; Chordata; Actinopteri; Salmoniformes; Salmonidae. The record is from Ensembl.